RNAcentral lists this unclassified non-coding RNA (323 nucleotides) under fungal sp. Its description in RNAcentral is "partial internal transcribed spacer region". The stretch from base 1 to 46 matches the Rfam family "Eukaryotic small subunit ribosomal RNA", at positions 1786 to 1831 of the family's 1831-position model. Lineage: Eukaryota; Fungi. The record is from RNAcentral.
AAGUCGUAACAAGGUAACCGUAGGUGAACCUGCGGUUGGAUCAUUAAAAAAUGUUUGGUCUUGUACCAAAUGAACACCUGUGUGCACCAAAUGACUGUUUUUGGUAGUUCGAGUUGCUCCUCGGGACUCAACACCCCGAGGUGCCUACCGCUGCCCGAUUAGGUGGACUGGUUUUACAACCUGGGCACCGUCAUUGGGCAACGCGCGGUUGGGCUACCGACCAUUUGAACAAACAUUUUGAUUUUUUUGUCUGAACUUUUAAGAUUUAAUCUUUGAUGAUUAAUGAUUAAUUACAACUUUCAACAACGGAUCUCUUGGCUCUC